Molecule: long non-coding RNA, 290 nt
Filed under: Chrysemys picta bellii (western painted turtle)
Lineage: Eukaryota; Metazoa; Chordata; Testudines; Emydidae
Description: lncRNA (ENSCPBG00000007542.1)
Source: RNAcentral
GGAAGGGAAGGGCCGCGUGCGCGGGCCGGGCUCAGCUCCGAGGAGCUGCCUGAGUUCUGCUCCUGGAGACCCGGCUCAGGUCUGGAGUGAUGGCUUCAGUAACACGAUUUCACCACCAAGACUGCAAGGCCAAAAUCCAGGUAAGGUCAUGCAACUCUUUAUCUUUUUAGGCAGGGGGGUGUGUGUCUUGUGAAUGAGCUCUUAAAAAUCAUGUUCUCUGACACUUUUUUGGAAGCGUAGAAUUUGUUCACUGGUGUCCUUGGCCAAAAUUUCAGCUACUGCCUUCAGUG